GUGGGGAAUAUUGCACAAUGGGCGCAAGCCUGAUGCAGCGACGCCGCGUGAGGGAUGACGGCCUUCGGGUUGUAAACCUCUUUCAGUAGGGAAGAAGCGAAAGUGACGGUACCUGCAGAAGAAGCACCGGCUAACUACGUGCCAGCAGCCGCGGUAAUACGUAGGGUGCGAGCGUUAUCCGGAAUUAUUGGGCGUAAAGAGCUCGUAGGCGGUUUGUCGCGUCUGUCGUGAAAGUCCGGGGCUUAACCCCGGAUCUGCGGUGGGUACGGGCAGACUAGAGUGCAGUAGGGGAGACUGGAAUUCCUGGUGUAGCGGUGGAAUGCGCAGAUAUCAGGAGGAACACCGAUGGCGAAGGCAGGUCUCUGGGCUGUAACUGACGCUGAGGAGCGAAAGCAUGGGGAGCGAACAGGAUUAGAUACCCUGGUAGUCC
Molecule: ribosomal RNA, 430 nt
Filed under: uncultured Micrococcus sp.
Lineage: Bacteria; Bacillati; Actinomycetota; Actinomycetes; Micrococcales; Micrococcaceae
Description: bacterial SSU rRNA
Rfam family: Bacterial small subunit ribosomal RNA
Source: RNAcentral